Canis lupus familiaris (dog) is the source of this 305-nucleotide long non-coding RNA. RefSeq lists it as uncharacterized. The transcript has 3 exons. The record is from RefSeq and is a predicted model, not a curated record. NCBI's taxonomy places the organism in Eukaryota, Metazoa, Chordata, Mammalia, Carnivora, Canidae.
CAAGGGAGAACUCCCUUCUCCCUUACGUCCUCCCUAAGGAAGCCUGUAACCCAAAAGGGAAGAAACGGAAGUAAGAGGGAAGCACAGAACAGUUUUUAACACAGGCUUGAUUUCAAGUUAUGGAAUAAGAUAAGAAAACUGAGGUCCAGAUCAGUAAAUUACCAGAGGUCAUACAGCUACCUCCAUAAUGCCCAUCCAAGGAAGGCUGUAAUGGUGAGAUAUUCCACAAUGAAACUAUAGUCACUGGAAUUUUCGUGAUUGUAAUUAUCCACAGUAUUUUCACUAGAUAAACAAGGAAAACCAAG